UGGCUCAGAGUGAACGCUGGCGGCAGGCCUAAUACAUGCAAGUCGAACGGCAGCACAGCAGAGCUUGCUCUGUGGGUGGCGAGUGGCGGACGGGUGAGGAAUACGUGGGAAUCUGCCCAGUCGUGGGGGAUAACGUAGGGAAACUUACGCUAAUACCGCAUGCGCCCUUCGGGGAAAGCCGGGGACCUUCGGGCCUGGCGCGAUUGGAUGAGCCCACGUCGGAUUAGCUAGUUGGCGGGUAAAGGCCCGCCAAGGCGACGAUCCGUAGCUGGUCUGAGAGGAUGAUCAGCCACACUGGAACUGAGACACGGUCCAGACUCCUACGGGAGGCAGCAGUAGGGAAUAUUGGACAAUGGGCGCAAGCCUGAUCCAGCCAUGCCGCGUGAGUGAAGAAGGCCCUCGGGUUGUAAAGCUCUUUUGUCCGGAAAGAAAAGCGCCGGGUUAAUACCCUGGUGUCCUGACGGUACCGGAAGAAUAAGCACCGGCUAACUUCGUG
Molecule: ribosomal RNA, 496 nt
Filed under: uncultured bacterium
Lineage: Bacteria
Description: bacterial SSU rRNA
Rfam family: Bacterial small subunit ribosomal RNA
Source: RNAcentral